Molecule: ribosomal RNA, 253 nt
Filed under: uncultured bacterium
Lineage: Bacteria
Description: partial 16S ribosomal RNA
Rfam family: Bacterial small subunit ribosomal RNA
Source: RNAcentral
UACGAAGGGGGCGAGCGUUGUUCGGAAUUACUGGGCGUAAAGGGCGCGUAGGCGGCCUUCUAAGUCGAACGUGAAAUCCCCGGGCUCAACCCGGGAACUGCGUCCGAUACUGGAAGGCUUGAAUCCGGGAGAGGGAUGCGGAAUUCCAGGUGUAGCGGUGAAAUGCGUAGAUAUCUGGAGGAACACCGGUGGCGAAGGCGGCAUCCUGGACCGGUACUGACGCUGAGACACGAAAGCGUGGGGAGCAAACAGG